This is a long non-coding RNA of Leopardus geoffroyi (Geoffroy's cat), 2583 nucleotides long. RefSeq lists it as uncharacterized. The transcript has 5 exons. The record is from RefSeq and is a predicted model, not a curated record. Lineage: Eukaryota; Metazoa; Chordata; Mammalia; Carnivora; Felidae.
CAUAUUGCUAAGUCAAAAAAUGCAGUUGAAGAACAGGUUGCCAUAUGACCCCAGCUAUUGGCAUGGGGGCAAGCGUAGGUGUGUAAAUGUCUGGAGGGGGACUGCGAGCAGUCAGGCCCGACCGUUGGCAGUGGUUACCCCACAUGGAGGAAUGAGACUGGGCCGGGGCCAGUGAAGGAGAACUUCGACUUUUUCUUCUAUGUCUCUUUGAUCUGUCUUUAUGGCAAAUGUAAUUCAAAAAUUAGGUGUCACUAUUGUUAUGGUUGAAGAGAGAAAACACCCCAGAGACGCUCAACGAAGAGGGCAAGAAAGUACAGAAUCCCGUACUUGAGAAGCUUGGAGGAGAGAACGAAAGUCAGGAGGGCUUCCAGGAGGAGGAGGAAGAGGAAGGCCAGCUGGAUCUCAGAGCAAGAGUGGACCCCUGGAUUUGGAGCAGAGAGAGGGCAGUCCAGGCACAAGGGAAAGGUCAGAGGCGAAGGCGUGUGCCACAGGAGAGGAAUCUUGAAGUAGGAGAAAUAGCAGGAGAAUUGGCCUUUUAUGACUGGGGCGAGUCUUAUCUUGGCCAUGCCCUGGAGCUACCUACCACCCUGGGCAAAUCACUUAUAGGUUCUGUGUCCCCAUCUAUAAAUGGGCAUAGUGGUCCGGACCUCAGUGGAUGGAUGUGAAGACUGACCUCAGUUUGGAGCAAACUGUAAAGUAGCAGAUAGAUGGGAAUUUAUUGUCAGUUUCUCCCAGGGCUCAGGGAGAAGGCAGAUUGGGUUGCAGUACCUUGGCAAGCCAUGGUCAACCCUUGACCAGCCUGAGCUGGGAAACACUCACACUCGAGGUGAUAGGAAAUACAGAGCCAGCAGGACUUCUUAAGCAUGGGAAGGAAGGCUCUGAAAUGACACCUGAGGGAGACGUGAGAACAGAAGGACCUCGCAGAUACGAGCGGAGCAGCAGUGUGUGAGUCCGGGCGUGGACAGAAGCAGGUGCUCACGCGUGCCGCCCAGAACCUGCAGUCUGGGGGCAGCGGUGCUAUACCUGGAUCCUUGCUCCUAAAUGGACUCUAAGCUACCUCCCGGCUGCUGGUGAUGGAAGAGAGCACCAGCUGCAUAAUAUUCCAACGUGGGAAUGAACUACACAGUUCCUGAUGAUGAACACCAGGGUUAUUUCCAAUCUGUUGCAACCAAUAGGCUGUCUCCAUCACUCGCUCACUCCCUGUGAACUCCUCGCCCUGUGCAUCAGUCAAGGUUCAGUUAGAGAAGCCGAACCACUAAGGAGGUUCUAACCAGAACCGUGUCGGAAAGAGCAUUCUGGGAAAUGUAGUCCAGCUGAGCCGAGAUGACUCAUCGCAAAGCCCGUCACACCAUGCCGCUUCUCUGCGCUGAGAAUCGAGUUCCUCAUCCGUGAGAUGGGAUAGUAACUCAUGGAAUGAAAUGAGAUGAUGCACCUGAAGCGCUUGACACGUCGUCUGGGUUCAAGAAAUGGUUCUUACUGCCCGGGAUCCCACCGCUAAUAAUGGCAAGAGGCGUGAGCUAUCCCCAAAGCCUGUUGCUCUCCGCCCUUCACCGUGCUGCCUCCCUGUGCCGGGCCUGGAAGUAUGGAAACGAGGAGGACAGUUCCUCUCCCUGGACAGAGGGGUAGGCCAGGGGCACGAGUAAGUGUAAUAGGGGACAGGAAAAGGAAAGCGGUCACCGUGAAUGGGACCGCCCACAAGACUGGCAGUGAGCUGGAUCCUCUACAGGGAGAAGCGGAGGAAGGGACCAGGAUUUUCUGCAUGCCUACUGUGUGCCAGGCACUGUGGGAGGCACUUUACGUGACCAUCACAGUGAGUCAUCACAACCAAAAAACGAGCUAGGUAGUAUUAUAAUCCCUGCAAUACAGACAAGGGAACUGAGACUCAGAGAGAGUGAGUCCCUCGCCCUCGGUCACUGAGUGACCACCUGCCAGAGCCCCCGCGUCCCCGGAGACGGCUAGAGUGGCGGUGGAAGCGGCAACGUGGGGUCAUCCCGGAGGCGGUGGCUCUCCGGAGCUGGCAGCCCGGGCUGGCUCCGCGCCCCGCCAGGCCGGCCUCUGUGCCCGUGUCUGCCCGUGGGCGGCAGGCGCUCUGGUGGCUGCAGUGCCGUGGUGGUGGCAGCGGCGGGCGGCAGCAGGGAGACAGUCACACCUCGCUGUUUUGUAAACUGUUUCUCACAGCUUGUUUGUUCCGGGUUAGGGCUGGAGCGGCACCGUAUGGAAGUGUGACUCAUUGUUUAAUGUGGCAGCUCAUUAGCAGAUCUUGUUGCUGCCUCUGAUUUCUCUGCUCCCGCUAAUUGGAGAGCCCAGUGGGGCCCCGGCUUCCCAUGAAGAACAAGCCAGUCCCCAGGGCUCCAGCCGGCCCUUGCCCCUCCGGCUCCCGAGGAGGCCACCCCACGCGGUGGGCACUGGUAUCAGCCAGCCUGCGUUCAAAUCCCAGCGCAUCCCGGCUGUGUAACCUUGGGCAAAGAGCCUGGUCCGCCCCUCUCUGAGCCUCAGUUUCCCUACCUGGCCGGUGGAGGAAGUAGUGACCACCUCAUCAGAGUGGGUGGGAGGAAGAGUAACAAUAAAGUCUCCUGGUGCAUA